Molecule: RNA transcript, 1652 nt
Organism: Triticum aestivum (bread wheat)
Lineage: Eukaryota; Viridiplantae; Streptophyta; Magnoliopsida; Poales; Poaceae
Exons: 3
Source: RefSeq, a predicted model, not a curated record
AGAAAACAUUAUCUUUUUUAAGUGCACCCCGUCUAACGUACACACAACAAACCAAGAUAAUUAGAGCCUCAUGAUCGGUCCAUUCAUUUAGAUCUAACCGUUAAAAUAAUAACUAACCUUUAGCGAUAGUACGUCAACCAAUUUAAGGUAGCGGACGAAAACUCUGCCAUCGAGCAGACGAAAGAUUCGUUCAACAACCGCUUGAUCCCAUCCUCAAUUAGCGCUAAAUCCCACCACAAAAUUAGCGCUAACCCAAAAUUUAGCCCGUCGCCCUCACCGCGCCCCCGUUCCUGGGUCAGAGGUGGUUGUCUCGCCGUGCCCCCGUUCCUGGGUCAGAGGUGGUUGUCUCGCCGCCCCAUGCCACGGCAAUGGCAAUGGCGGCGUGCACGACGAUUUCCUCCACCAGAUGCUCGGCAGCCUGCCGCCCUCGGCUUGACACGACCAUGCCGCUGGGACGAAGCCUGAGGACCGCGCCCAGGCUGAUGGGAUAAAGCAGCAGCUGUUUAGAGGGCCGUACGACCUGUCGGUGAUGCUGGCGUCGCGGCUUUGGCAGCACCAGAUUAACGGCAUCCCGGCUGCGGCGUCACAGCGGCGAAGUAGAUGGUGCUACAGAACCUCGCCGAUCUGAGAUAGGGCCACUACAACAACAUGCUUCUCAAGGGCAUGGCUGCUCGCCAUCCAUCGGGGGCGACGACGGCGGCGAUGGCGUCCUGCUGCUCCCACUCACCCUUGGCAAGGGCGAAUCGGGCGGUGACGUGCGUGCAGCAGCAAACGGUGCCCAUGCCGAACCAGACCUUUGGCGGAGUAGGAGGUGCUCUGGCUGCAGGGCGCAACCACAACAAGCCGGGGGAGGAGGAGGUGCUCCGGCUGCAGGGCGCAACCACCACAAGCCGGGCGAGGAGGAGGUGGCGCGCCGGCGCCGCCGAGGCAGCGGGUGCGCGCGCGGCCAGGCCAGACCACCAACCCACACAGCACCUCGGAGGGAGUGAACUAUCUAUCGAGUGACACUCAUAUAGUUUUACUGUCAAUUUGGCCGGCAAUUAACCUUAUAGAAUAUAAAACCAAGGGGAGCAGUUAGUUUCUUAGCACUAAUCUGAUUAGUUUCCCGUGUUUUCGUCCUUUUAGUUGCCCAUACUGUUCUUGUUCUUCUCUACUCAUGUGCAGUUCUAUUUAGCUCCAUGGACCUCUCUUCCUCUAUAAACUGAAUGCUGGAUGAUUUAUUCUAAUUAAUUAACCAUCUGGUCCUUGUCGCAGUUUUGCCGGGAGAGGAUAGCCGAGAGGAUAAAGGCCCUGCAAGAACUGGUGCCCAAGGUGAGCAAAGAUAUCAGCUGGAGAACGAGGCACAGAUUAUGCUUGUAGCUAAGCUAGCUUAAUUGGAUUCUUCGAGAUCCAAGUGGUCGAAGAAGAUAGCUAUAUCACUAAGGGUUUUGGUUGGGAAGCUGCUGCUUUAUUAUUGCAUCAGUCAAUGCUGACCAGGAAUUAAAAUAAGGGCUUCAACAGAUGCCGAUGCAACAAAAAGGAUGGAGCCAUCAGAUGUCAAUGAAAAUGCUUAGUGCAAACAAUGGACUUCUCAAUUUUACGUGUGCCAUUUAAAAGAUGUUGUAGCUUUCGGACAUAUCAAACCUUGGAGCUGGAACAUUGGCUUAUCCCAA